RNAcentral lists this non-coding RNA (30 nucleotides) under Mus musculus (house mouse). The record is from RNAcentral. Lineage: Eukaryota; Metazoa; Chordata; Mammalia; Rodentia; Muridae.
UNGCUGUUGAGCUUUUGCUGGGUGGUGGGU